This 236-nucleotide long non-coding RNA is filed under the name Elaeis guineensis (African oil palm). Its description in RNAcentral is "long non-coding RNA (EGUI_LNC024204)". Lineage: Eukaryota; Viridiplantae; Streptophyta; Magnoliopsida; Arecales; Arecaceae. The record is from RNAcentral.
UCUUGGGCAUCAUCUAGCAUUGGGCGUCUCUCUCCUCUUGGCAUCCUCCCUCUUUUUAUGGCGACGUGUGGGCUGUUCCAAGGGCUUGAGAUCAGAUCUCAAGUAUUUUUCUCCAUCCUCGCUGAAGAAAAGUUCAUCUCUCUCUCCUACAGCAUUUGAUGUGCACACGAAGUAGAGGAUCUAUGCAUCUGGAUCUCGCAAAGUAAAUUGAUUGAGGAGCUUCUUUAAUCUUGAUC